RNAcentral lists this long non-coding RNA (429 nucleotides) under Thrips palmi. RNAcentral's name for it is "uncharacterized LOC117642650, transcript variant X3". Lineage: Eukaryota; Metazoa; Arthropoda; Insecta; Thysanoptera; Thripidae. The record is from RNAcentral.
CGUGACAAAAUCCUGUUACGGUGGCACGCGAGUCGGAAUGGGGUCGGGUUCGAGACGUGGGUGAACGGGGUGCAUUGGUCAUCGGGAAAGUUGUUGAGUGAAGAAAUUCCGGGCACUUCAAACAGAUAUAAAGGUGGUACUGAACCACCAUUCCCUUCCUCAGAAAGGCUCCCCGUAGCGAAACCUCCGGCUUUCGAAUCAACCUUUCGACUCAGGAGUCGACGGCGUUGGUAUGUCGCCGGAGAAGAGGUCUCAGUCCAGCCCAACCGGCGGGCCUAGCGGGGCUGCAAAGCGCUCCAAGCAAGGCGACCCGUCACAGCUUGACGAACCGUCUCCACAGAACAGUCUGUCAUCGGUGUCGGAGAUUUCGGUCAAACAGGAAGUAGCAACGAGUCCGGAAGCCACCAUGAGUGCGUGCCGCUGUACCAC